RNAcentral lists this long non-coding RNA (669 nucleotides) under Sparus aurata (gilthead seabream). RNAcentral describes it as "lncRNA (ENSSAUG00010006464.1)". The record is from RNAcentral. Lineage: Eukaryota; Metazoa; Chordata; Actinopteri; Spariformes; Sparidae.
UCUGCUGUUUACUUUAUUUUUUACCCCUCUGUCCUAGGACAGUGCAUGUGUCCCAGUUUGAAUGAAGCGUCUUUAUGUUUGCUUUAUUUUAUCUCUCUUCAGGGUCUUCCUGGUAAUUCUGGACUGAAAGGUGAAGGUGGAGACCCUGGUCCUCAGGUGAGUAAGAAGUUAGGAUCUGAAUAAUAAUGCAUGAAAAUAACCCUCACCAGUGAAUGAAGGCCACAUUCCAAGUUACAAGUUCUGUUCGUCACUAAGUGAUCCUCCUGUGUCUAUACAGGGCCCCCGUGGCAUCCAGGGGCCUCCAGGACAACCUGGCAAAGCUGGCAAGAGGGGCCGUGCUGGAGCUGAUGGGGCCCGUGGCAUGCCUGGAGAACCAGGCAGCAAGGUACCGUAUGGCAUUACACAACCUUUCCUGGUCAUGUGACAUAUUACGAAUGAGAAGUGUAUUGUAUUCAUAAAGUAUUGCUACAAGCAUUCUAUAGCCCCUGGUGACUUUGAAUAUUGAUGACUGAUGUGUGUCUAUACAGGGUGACAGAGGCUUUGAUGGACUCCCUGGACUGCCUGGUGAAAAGGGACACAGAGGGGAGCCAGGGCCAAUGGGACCCGCAGGAGCCCCCGGAGAGGAUGGACAGAGAGGCGAGGAUGGAGAGAUUGGGCCCAGAGGAUUAG